GCUGGCGGCGUGCCUAAUACAUGCAAGUCGAGCGAACGGACGAGAAGCUUGCUUCUCUGAUGUUAGCGGCGGACGGGUGAGUAACACGUGGAUAACCUACCUAUAAGACUGGGAUAACUUCGGGAAACCGGAGCUAAUACCGGAUAAUAUUUUGAACCGCAUGGUUCAAAAGUGAAAGACGGUCUUGCUGUCACUUAUAGAUGGAUCCGCGCUGCAUUAGCUAGUUGGUAAGGUAACGGCUUACCAAGGCAACGAUGCAUAGCCGACCUGAGAGGGUGAUCGGCCACACUGGAACUGAGACACGGUCCAGACUCCUACGGGAGGCAGCAGUAGGGAAUCUUCCGCAAUGGGCGAAAGCCUGACGGAGCAACGCCGCGUGAGUGAUGAAGGUCUUCGGAUCGUAAAACUCUGUUAUUAGGGAAGAACAUAUGUGUAAGUAACUGUGCACAUCUUGACGGUACCUAAUCAGAAAGCCACGGCUAACUACGUGCCAGCAGCCGCGGUAAUACGUAGGUGGCAAGCGUUAUCCGGAAUUAUUGGGCGUAAAGCGCGCGUAGGCGGUUUUUUAAGUCUGAUGUGAAAGCCCACGGCUCAACCGUGGAGGGUCAUUGGAAACUGGAAAACUUGAGUGCAGAAGAGGAAAGUGGAAUUCCAUGUGUAGCGGUGAAAUGCGCAGAGAUAUGGAGGAACACCAGUGGCGAAGGCGACUUUCUGGUCUGUAACUGACGCUGAUGUGCGAAAGCGUGGGGAUCAAACAGGAUUAGAUACCCUGGUAGUCCACGCCGUAAACGAUGAGUGCUAAGUGUUAGGGGGUUUCCGCCCCUUAGUGCUGCAGCUAACGCAUUAAGCACUCCGCCUGGGGAGUACGACCGCAAGGUUGAAACUCGAAGGAAUUGACGGGGACCCGCACAAGCGGUGGAGCAUGUGGUUUAAUUCGAAGCAACGCGAAGAACCUUACCAAAUCUUGACAUCCUUUGACAACUCUAGAGAUAGAGCUUUCCCCUUCGGGGGACAAAGUGACAGGUGGUGCAUGGUUGUCGUCAGCUCGUGUCGUGAGAUGUUGGGUUAAGUCCCGCAACGAGCGCAACCCUUAAGCUUAGUUGCCAUCAUUAAGUUGGGCACUCUAAGUUGACUGCCGGUGACAAACCGGAGGAAGGUGGGGAUGACGUCAAAUCAUCAUGCCCCUUAUGAUUUGGGCUACACACGUGCUACAAUGGACAAUACAAAGGGCAGCGAAACCGCGAGGUCAAGCAAAUCCCAUAAAGUUGUUCUCAGUUCGGAUUGUAGUCUGCAACUCGACUACAUGAAGCUGGAAUCGCUAGUAAUCGUAGAUCAGCAUGCUACGGUGAAUACGUUCCCGGGUCUUGUACACACCGCCCGUCACACCACGAGAGUUUGUAACACCCGAAGCCGGUGGAGUAACCUUUUAGGAGCUAGCCGUCGAAGGUGGGACAAAUGAUUGG
RNAcentral lists this ribosomal RNA (1463 nucleotides) under uncultured organism. RNAcentral's name for it is "16S ribosomal RNA". It matches the Rfam family "Bacterial small subunit ribosomal RNA". The record is from RNAcentral.